UGCUGAGCGGGUUUAGGUCAUGGGUCAGUGAACGCGAUGGAAACUAUCCUAUAGUGUAAAAGCAGCUGCAGAACGGACAGCCAAGAAGCAGGGAAUCAUUUCACUUCUUUACAGAUGGUAAGUUGUCCCUAAAGAAAUUCUGUUUAGCUCAAUAUUAAAUGUUACUAGGUUUUUACCAUAAAAUCUACCAUUAGAUGCACUAUGUCUCCUUAAGAGUGUCACUAGGUUGCUAUAAAUGAUUUUAUAAAAUAUAUCCACUAUAACUAAGAUAAAACCGAGCAGUAAAAGCAUAACCUAUCCCAGGGAUGGCAUAUAAUGCUGUUUGCAGUUUGUUCCCUGCCUCUCUGCACCCUAAAGCUCUCUUCGCUCAGCCAACAGCUCACAAUUCUGCCUGAUGGACCCCAGGUAAGAAGCCAGACCUUUAGCAAACGGUUAGACUAUGUACAUUGGUGGAGCGCCAGUUAACUCCCGGAACAGUGGUUAUGGUGCUUGGAGUGUUCCUUCAAAAAUGGCACUUUUUUUCCCCAACAUUUGUCCUAAUUAUUGCAGCUCUGCAUUCACUAUAGCUCAGUUACCACUUUACCAAGGUUCCAGCGCCGAUGUCACUUGGCGCUGGUUCGGGCUCUGCCUCUGCUUCUCCCCCACCAACGUCAUCCGGUGGCAGAGACCUAAUGCGCAUAAGUGCCAAUCACCAUGCUCGCAUUAAUAUUUCCCCCAUAGGAAAGGAUGUAUAAUGCUUUCCUAUGGGGUUUUUCAUGACUCUGGAAGUCCCCUAAUGCACAGCGUGAGGACAUCCAGCAUCAGUUAGGCGGAUAAUCACCCUAUAGUUGGUGUUUGGCAGAUUAAAAACUGCAAUAAUUAUCUUUGCAGGGUUAAUGGACCUGGGACUGUACACCAGACCACUUCAACGAGAUGACCUUCAAAGAGAUGUCCCUUUAAUACAUUGCAACAGGAUUCCUUUCGGAUACACUUUGCACUAUGUGACUUCUCUGCUUUUCUUGGUUGUCCUGAAC
Molecule: non-coding RNA, 1013 nt
Organism: Pelobates cultripes (western spadefoot toad)
Lineage: Eukaryota; Metazoa; Chordata; Amphibia; Anura; Pelobatidae
Source: the annotation of a GenBank genome assembly